This 202-nucleotide microRNA precursor is filed under the name Medicago truncatula (barrel medic). RNAcentral's name for it is "MIR2619 microRNA precursor family". It matches the Rfam family "MIR2619 microRNA precursor family". Lineage: Eukaryota; Viridiplantae; Streptophyta; Magnoliopsida; Fabales; Fabaceae. The record is from Rfam by way of RNAcentral.
AAACAGCCCCCUUAUGUAUUGGAUCUUUGACAGCUUUGGCCCCCAAGACCACUUUUGACUUAGUCUUUGCUGAUGUGGCACCCACAAUGGUCGACAUGUGGCACCUCACUUAAGGGAUGUGGGUGCCAAGUCAGCGAAGACUAAGUCUAAAGUGGCAUUGGGGGCCAAAACUGCCAAAGAUCCAAUACAUAGAGGGUUGUUU